GUUGUGGCUCAGUGGUAGAGCGUUUGCCUCCCACAUGUGAGGCCCUGGGUUCCAUCCUCAGCACAACG
RNAcentral lists this transfer RNA (68 nucleotides) under Marmota monax (woodchuck). RNAcentral describes it as "tRNA.Gly". The record is from RNAcentral. Lineage: Eukaryota; Metazoa; Chordata; Mammalia; Rodentia; Sciuridae.